CAGGGAGACAACAACUGAUCGUGAUGUCUGAGUACUUUAUUCUCAGGCCAUGAUCCUGUCAUCUUGAAGGUCGAUCGGUACCUCAACUUCAAGGUUGAGAUGAAUGGGAUGCCUAGGUAAGCCAUUCAUGCUUGAUUUUUGAUGUUCUGUUCCUAAACGUUGUCUAGGUCACCCCAUAGAGGGUUCACUUCCUGGGCCAUUAGCUCAGGUGGUUAGAGCGCACCCCUGAUAAGGGUGAGGUCCCUGGUUCAAGUCCAGGAUGGCCCAUGCCAAGGUCCAGUAAUGGAUCAUUUGGGGGUUUAGCUCAGUUGGUAGAGCGCCUGCUUUGCAAGCAGGAUGUCAGCGGUUCGAGUCCGCUAACCUCCACUAACAUCUGAACUCCACAAGCAGGAAGCAAUUCUUGUGUGGUGACAUAGACGUUGUUCGCUGAUGAAACAAGCUUGAGUGAUCAAGCAGAGUUCAGCCUCAGAUCAUUCCCCAGUCUUUGAUCGAUUGAUCAAGAGCGAGAUGGUUGAUCUGAUGCUGGAUUCAGCGAAGAAGCCUCGCGAGGGGCUUUUUCAAUGAAGUUCAGCAGAACCUUGACAACUGCAUAGGUGAGUCUGGAAAGACAAAGCAUCUCAUAGAGGCGAGAUGACAGACGCUGCAAAGCUGAUGUUAUGUCGUGAUUCUAUUUUUGAGAGCCGAGACCUUCUAGCGUUCUUCCCAAUCCGCCGAGGUGCGGGGAGUUUGAUCCUUGCUUGCUAGUCCUUCUAGCUUUUGAUCGGGAAACCAAUCAAAAGCAACUGUGCUGCCAAGCUUGAGAGAAUGGGCCUCAACAGCCUGAAGCGAUAGGAGGAUACAUUU
RNAcentral lists this transfer RNA (843 nucleotides) under uncultured cyanobacterium. Its description in RNAcentral is "partial contains 16S ribosomal RNA, 16S-23S ribosomal RNA intergenic spacer, and 23S ribosomal RNA". The stretch from base 294 to 366 matches the Rfam family "tRNA". Lineage: Bacteria; Bacillati; Cyanobacteriota. The record is from RNAcentral.